AAUGCUGACAUGAGUAACGAUAAGGGGAGUGAAAAACUUCCCCGCCGAAAACCCAAGGUUUCCUGUUCUAUGCUAAUCAGAGCAGGGUGAGUCGGCCCCUAAGGCGAGACCGAAAGGUGUAGUCGAUGGGAAACGGAUUAAUAUUUCCGUACCUUGGAUAGCUGCGAUGGAGAGACGGAGAAGGCUAGGUGAGCCGGGCGACGGUUGUCCCGGUUUAAGCAUGUAGGCAGUGGGAUUAGGCAAAUCCGGUCCCACAAUGCCGAGACGCGACGACGACUGCCCUUUUAGGGCGGGAAGUCAUUGAUGCCCUGCUUCCAGGAAAAUCUUCUAAGCUUCAGGCUAUUCGAGACCGUACCCCAAACCGACACA
Molecule: ribosomal RNA, 369 nt
Filed under: Scyphosphaera apsteinii
Lineage: Eukaryota; Haptophyta; Coccosphaerales; Pontosphaeraceae
Description: partial Bacterial large subunit ribosomal RNA
Rfam family: Bacterial large subunit ribosomal RNA
Source: RNAcentral